This 506-nucleotide ribosomal RNA is filed under the name uncultured bacterium. RNAcentral describes it as "partial 16S ribosomal RNA". It matches the Rfam family "Bacterial small subunit ribosomal RNA", at positions 30 to 523 of the family's 1533-position model. The record is from RNAcentral.
AUUGAACGCUGGCGGCAGGCCUAACACAUGCAAGUCGAACGGUAACAGGAAGAAGCUUGCUUCUUUGCUGACGAGUGGCGGACGGGUGAGUAAUGUCUGGGAAACUGCCUGAUGGAGGGGGAUAACUACUGGAAACGGUAGCUAAUACCGCAUAACGUCGCAAGACCAAAGAGGGGGACCUUCGGGCCUCUUGCCAUCGGAUGUGCCCAGAUGGGAUUAGCUAGUUGGUGGGGUAACGGCUCACCAAGGCGACGAUCCCUAGCUGGUCCGAGAGGAAGACCAGCCCAACUGGAACUGAGACACGGUCCAGACUCCUACGGGAGGCAGCAGUGGGGAAUAUUGCACAAUGGGCGCAAGCCUGAUGCAGCCAUGCCGCGUGUAUGAAGAAGGCCUUCGGGUUGUAAAGUACUUUCAGCGGGGAGGAAGGGAGUAAAGUUAAUACCUUUGCUCAUUGACGUUACCCGCAGAAGAAGCACCGGCUAACUCCGUGCCAGCCGCCGCGGUAA